Molecule: ribosomal RNA, 459 nt
Filed under: uncultured bacterium
Lineage: Bacteria
Description: partial 16S ribosomal RNA
Rfam family: Bacterial small subunit ribosomal RNA
Source: RNAcentral
CCUACGGGAGACAGCAGUGAGGAAUAUUGGUCAAUGGCCGGAAGGCUGAACCAGCCAUGCCGCGUGAAGGUCAGUGCCCUAUGGGUUGUAAACUUCUUUUAUAUGGGAAUAAAAUGUUCCACGUGUGGGAUUUUGUAUGUACCAUAUGAAUAAGGAUAGGCUAACUCCGUGCCAGCAGCCGCGGUAAUACGGAGGAUCCGAGCGUUAUCCGGAUUUAUUGGGUUUAAAGGGAGCGUAGGUGGAUUGUUAAGUCAGUUGUGAAAGUUUGCGGCUCAACCGUAAAAUUGCAGUUGAAACUGGCAGUCUUGAGUACAGUAGAGGUGGGCGGAAUGCGUGGUGUAGCGGUGAAAUGCUUAGAUAUCACGAAGAACUCCGAUUGCGAAGGCAGCUCACUGGACUGCAACUGACACUGAGGCUCGAAAGUGUGGGUAUCAAACAGGAUUAGAUACCCGAGUAGUC